Pelobates cultripes (western spadefoot toad) is the source of this 590-nucleotide non-coding RNA. The record is from the annotation of a GenBank genome assembly. Lineage: Eukaryota; Metazoa; Chordata; Amphibia; Anura; Pelobatidae.
CUAUAAAGCAGUAGUAGUUGUUGUCUGUUUGAAAUGAUGGGACUGAAGUAGUGUGUGUGGAGUGUCACAGUCAAUAUCAUCAGCAUCUUGGUGUAUAUAUAUAUGGGUGUGGUGCGGUCAAUGGUCUGGUUUACGGUCUUUUGUAAGUACCUUUGCACACAUGGAACCACACAACAGGUUAGGAAAAGGAAGAAGAUCAUUACAGUAAGAACUGCCAUCCCUAUUUGGAAAAGAGUCCUCUGCCAUCCACUCAUCCAUCCAAACCAUUUAUCCCAAGAGUUAGGAACCCCUAAAUUUUUCUUUAAUUCAUCAGAGAGAUUUUCCAAUUUUUCUAUGGCCAUAGUCACUUUACCAUUAGGACCAGUAUUGUCUGGGAUAAAAGUAGAGCACAUCAUCGUCUCAGGGAGUAUUUUACAUACGUCCCCCUUUUCAGCUAAAAUCAUGUCUAAGGCUAUCCUGUUUUGGAAUGUCAUGUGGGAGGUAGCCUGUAACUGCUCGGCUAAGCCCUGUAGGGCAUCUCGAGUGUAGUUGACAAAGCGUUGUUGGUUGUAGUAGAUGUAAUUGAUCCAGUUAACAUUUUUAUUAGCAGU